Long non-coding RNA from Chelonus insularis, 258 nucleotides. RefSeq lists it as uncharacterized. Lineage: Eukaryota; Metazoa; Arthropoda; Insecta; Hymenoptera; Braconidae. The transcript is spliced from 2 exons. The record is from RefSeq and is a predicted model, not a curated record.
GAAUAAAACUACACGACAAAAUCAUUCUCGAGCAAUUCAACAUACAAUUGACUUGUACAUUAAUAAUUUACAAGAGUCCUUGAGAAAUGGAAGGAUGACAUUGUCAGAAUAUUUGUAGGCAGUAGUUGAACGCACAAAUAUUCGACGGGAGCUGAGACAACGUGGCUCAUAAUUUGGAAGUGUAGAAAACCAAAGUUAAAGAGAUACCAGCAAAUGUAAACUUUCUUAAAUAUAAAUAAAAGUUAUACUUAUAACUUC